This 451-nucleotide ribosomal RNA is filed under the name uncultured bacterium. Its description in RNAcentral is "bacterial SSU rRNA". It matches the Rfam family "Bacterial small subunit ribosomal RNA", at positions 354 to 796 of the family's 1533-position model. The record is from RNAcentral.
GUGGGGAAUAUUGGACAAUGGGGGGAACCCUGAUCCAGCCAUGCCGCGUGUGUGAAGAAGGCCUUUUGGUUGUAAAGCACUUUAAGCGAGGAGGAGGCUACCGAGAUUAAUACUCUUGGAUAGUGGACGUUACUCGCAGAAUAAGCACCGGCUAACUCUGUGCCAGCAGCCGCGGUAAUACAGAGGGUGCGAGCGUUAAUCGGAUUUACUGGGCGUAAAGCGUGCGUAGGCGGCUGUUUAAGUCGGAUGUGAAAUCCCCGAGCUUAACUUGGGAAUUACAUUCGAUACUGGGAAGCUAGAGUAUGGGAGAGGAUGGUAGAAUUCCAGGUGUAGCGGUGAAAUGCGUAGAGAUCUGGAGGAAUACCGAUGGCGAAGGCAGCCAUCUGGCCUAAUACUGACGCUGAGGUACGAAAGCAUGGGGAGCAAACAGGAUUAGAUACCCGUGUAGUCC